RNAcentral lists this ribosomal RNA (501 nucleotides) under uncultured bacterium. Its description in RNAcentral is "partial 16S ribosomal RNA". It matches the Rfam family "Bacterial small subunit ribosomal RNA", at positions 30 to 523 of the family's 1533-position model. The record is from RNAcentral.
AUUGAACGCUGGCGGCAGGCUUAACACAUGCAAGUCGAGCGGGGGAAGGUAGCUUGCUACUGGACCUAGCGGCGGACGGGUGAGUAAUGCUUAGGAAUCUGCCUAUUAGUGGGGGACAACAUCUCGAAAGGGAUGCUAAUACCGCAUACGUCCUACGGGAGAAAGCAGGGGAUCUUCGGACCUUGCGCUAAUAGAUGAGACUAAGUCGGAUUAGCUAGUUGGUGGGGCAAAGGCCUACCAAGGCGACGAUCUGUAGCGGGUCUGAGAGGAUGAUCCGCCACACUGGGACUGAGACACGGCCCAGACUCCUACGGGAGGCAGCAGUGGGGAAUAUUGGACAAUGGGGGGAACCCUGAUCCAGCCAUGCCGCGUGUGUGAAGAAGGCCUUAUGGUUGUAAAGCACUUUAAGCGAGGAGGAGGCUACUUUAGUUAAUACCUAGAGAUAGUGGACGUUACUCGCAGAAUAAGCACCGGCUAACUCUGUGCCAGCCGCCGCCGUAA